RNAcentral lists this ribosomal RNA (433 nucleotides) under uncultured bacterium. Its description in RNAcentral is "partial 16S ribosomal RNA". It matches the Rfam family "Bacterial small subunit ribosomal RNA", at positions 29 to 507 of the family's 1533-position model. The record is from RNAcentral.
AACGGACGCUGGCGGCAUGCCUAACACAUGCAAGUCGAACGAGACCUUCGGGUCUAGUGGCGCACGGGUGCGUAACGCGUGGGAACCUGCCCUUAGGUUCGGAAUAACUCCCCGAAAGGGGUGCUAAUACCGGAUAAUGUCUUCGGACCAAAGAUUUAUCGCCUUUGGUUGGGCCCGCGUUGGAUUAGCUAGUUGGUAGGGUAAAAGCCUACCAAGGCGACGAUCCAUAGCUGGUCUGAGAGGAUGAUCAGCCACACUGGGACUGAGACACGGCCCAGACUCCUACGGGAGGCAGCAGUGGGGAAUAUUGGACAAUGGGCGAAAGCCUGAUCCAGCAAUGCCGCGUGAGUGAUGAAGGCCUUAGGGUUGUAAAGCUCUUGUACCCGGGAUGAUAAUGACAGUACCGGGAGAAUAAGCUCCGGCUAACUCCGUG